This is a non-coding RNA of Aedes aegypti (yellow fever mosquito), 74 nucleotides long. The record is from Rfam. NCBI's taxonomy places the organism in Eukaryota, Metazoa, Arthropoda, Insecta, Diptera, Culicidae.
GGGCUGGUGGUGUAAUGGCUACCGCUUCUGCUUCAUAAGCAGAAGGUCAUGGGUUCAAUCCCGGGUCCGUCCCU